Molecule: long non-coding RNA, 1571 nt
Organism: Sarcophilus harrisii (Tasmanian devil)
Lineage: Eukaryota; Metazoa; Chordata; Mammalia; Dasyuromorphia; Dasyuridae
Exons: 4
Source: RefSeq, a predicted model, not a curated record
AGGGGAGGGCCCGGAACCGGCAGCGGCAGCGGCCCGGGGAAACCGCGGAGAGGAGGGGGGGAGCGCGGGGAAAGUGGUGGGCCGGGUGAGGGGGGGGAGGGGCACGCGGCGGGCGCAGGCAGCCCGAAACCGGCGAGGACGGGGGGCGUCCGCCCCCAGGGCGCGAACCUCCCCGACGCCGCGGGAGCCAACCCAAGCCCGGAACGGCCCUUCAGGGGCGCCGUCCGGGCGGACAAAGGCGGCGCACAGCCGGGGAAUUUUCUCCAGCUAAUUUUACAGAUGAGAAAACUGAGGCAAACGGAACUUAAGUGACUAAACCAGAGUCAAAGAGAUUAAGCAACUAUGAGCAUGAAAACCAAAUGGGGCAGUUAAGUGGCAGAGUAAAUAGAGUACUUGCCUUGGAGUCAGGAGGACCGGACUUCAAAAGGGGUCUCAGAUACUUACUAGCUGUAUGACCUUGGGCAUUGUACUAAGAGCUAAUUAUAUGAAGACAAAAGACAAGAUCUACCCUCAAGAAACCCCCAGUCUAAUGAAUGAGAAGACAUGCAAAUGGCUAUGUAUAACAAGUAACAUCCAUGAUUAACUGGUAAUUUUGGGAGGGAGGCACUAAUAGUUGGGAGAAUCAGGAAGCGUUUUUGUAUAAAAGGUGAUGCUUGAGUUGAGAUUUGAAGGAAACAAGGAUUUCUAAGAGAUGGUAGGAAGAAGAACAUUUGUUGAAUGGAUAGGUGUGUGUAUUCAUUAAAUACAAUAAGUUAUGUUAAAGUUAUGUUAAAACUCUGGACCUCAGAGCAAAAUUUUGUCUCCUCAUCUUUUGCCAAUCCUUCAGGAGUAAGUUGGAAGAUGGUGAACAUCUAUACCGAAAGUUGUUACUUUUGAGAGAAUCCUCUACUUGGCAGAAGCUGGUUUAGUAAUUCUCCCCAAUUAAUCUUUGUUUUUGGUUUUAUAUGCCCAGAAUUGUACAAUACAUGAGAUAAGCAUAUAAAAAUUACUUUUUGAAUGAAUGAACAAACCCCAGGGAUAUCAAAACCUAAAGAAAAUGGAUUUGUUCCUGGGGCAUCCAAGAAGUUCAGUCUAGAGCAGGACUUAUUAAACUUUUUUGUGUGUCAUGGAUCCCUUUGGUGUUCUGGUGAAGUCUGUGAACUAUUCUCAGAUUAAUGUUUUAAAAUUAAAUCAAAAGAAAUAAUAUUUAAAUAAUAUUUGGCACAGUGCCUGACACAUAGUAGGCAAAUGCUUGUUUCCAUCUCCCCAUUAAACACAUAAAAUAAAAUACAUAGUAUUAAUAGAGAAAUCAAUUAUAUUAUCAAGCAGUUAUCAAAAAAAAUUUUUUAAAUAAGUUCAUACCUAAAAGCUUAAGGCCCUUUAGAAUUUUCAGUUGUAUUCAUCAGAUAUUUCUGAAAUGCUUAUUAUAUGAAAGGCACUGUUUUGGGCAUAGGAGGUUUCAGUGUUGGGAUUCAGAACUGGCUAUCAGGAUGAUUUCAGAGAUGCCUGCAGAGACUUACAUGAAUUGAUGCUAAGUGAAGUGACUAGAACCAGAAGAUCAUUGUACACAGCAACAGCAAGAUUAUAUGAUG